AGCGAACGCUGGCGGCAGGCCUAAAACAUGCAAGUCGAACGCCGUAGCAAUACGGAGUGGCAGACGGGUGAGUAACACGUGGGAACGUGCCUUUUGGUUCGGAACAACACAGGGAAACUUGUGCUAAUACCGGAUAAGCCCUUACGGGGAAAGAUUUAUCGCCAAAAGAUCGGCCCGCGUCUGAUUAGCUAGUUGGUGGGUAACGGCCCACCAAGGCUACGAUCAGUAGCUGGUCUGAGAGGAUGAUCAGCCACACUGGGACUGAGACACGGCCCAGACUCCUACGGGAGGCAGCAGUUAGGAAUCUUGGACAAUGGGCGCAAGCCUGAUCCAGCCAUGCCGCGUGAGUGAUGAAGGCCUUAGGGUUGUAAAGCUCUUUCAGCGGGGAAGAUAAUGACGGUACCCGCAGAAGAAGCCCCGGCUAACUUCGUGCCAGCCGCCGCCGUAA
RNAcentral lists this ribosomal RNA (448 nucleotides) under uncultured bacterium. RNAcentral's name for it is "partial 16S ribosomal RNA". It matches the Rfam family "Bacterial small subunit ribosomal RNA", at positions 29 to 523 of the family's 1533-position model. The record is from RNAcentral.